UACGUAGGGUGCGAGCGUUGUCCGGAAUUAUUGGGCGUAAAGAGCUCGUAGGCGGUCUGUCGCGUCGGUCGUGAAAACUUGGGGCUUAACCCUGAGCUUGCGGUCGAUACGGGCAUGACUGGAGUUCGGCAGGGGAGACUGGAAUUCCUGGUGUAGCGGUGAAAUGCGCAGAUAUCAGGAGGAACACCGGUGGCGAAGGCGGGUCCCUGGGCCGAUACUGACGCUGAGGAGCGAAAGCGUGGGGAGCGAACAGG
This 254-nucleotide ribosomal RNA is filed under the name uncultured bacterium. Its description in RNAcentral is "partial 16S ribosomal RNA". It matches the Rfam family "Bacterial small subunit ribosomal RNA", at positions 524 to 776 of the family's 1533-position model. The record is from RNAcentral.